Molecule: long non-coding RNA, 7705 nt
Filed under: Equus caballus (horse)
Lineage: Eukaryota; Metazoa; Chordata; Mammalia; Perissodactyla; Equidae
Description: lncRNA (ENSECAG00000057214.1)
Source: RNAcentral
CCCUUCCUUUGUGAAUGGACUCUCCGAGGCUAUAUGGUCCUCAGGGCUGGCUCAUAAUAAACUCACCCCAAUUUGAUUUACAGAUUGGUUAUGGAUUAUUUCCUUAGACAUUUUUGAGAUAAAAGUCUGCUACCAGUUUCCUGAUCUUCCAAGUGUGUAUUACAAAACUUCUUCUGAAUCUUCUAGUUCCAGGGAGACUCAAUAUCUGCCAGACCCUUGUAUCCUCUCAAUACCCUUAGGAGUGUUUGUGAUUUUCCCCCUUGGAGCUGGCAAUCUUGUUCGAUAUGGGAAUGUGAUUCCCUUAGCAAAGCCCUUAGCACGUAGUAGACACUCAAAUGUCUACUCAACUGUAAUUUCCUCCCAUACUAUUAUGAUUUUACAGUGCGUCUGAGGGCCAAGCCUCAGCAACACAGCCAUUUCCUCCAUAACAGGAUGGAGAUGACACCGGAUAUCUAUCUCAUAGGAACAGAGUGGUGACACAUGCAAACACUCUCUUCUGAAUGAUACCCUCACCUUUCACCAUAUAAGAAAAAAAAAAGGCGCACUACUACAAUAAUGCAAUAACAUCCUGCCAUUAUCACAUUCUUUAUUAAGACAGUCUUGCCCUGUCUUUAUUCCCAGUUCUGCCAUUGUUCCACAGCAGAGUGAAGUGGAAUUAUAGUGAGGCCAGCAGAGCGGAAGUGGUGACAGUUGCCAGCAAAGUCAAGCACUAUCAUGUAAGGGAGUUAUAGCCACCACAAGGGAAAACUCAGGCCUCCACUCUAGUCAUCACAAAUCAGGUUUUCCUUUACCAUCAAACAGCAACACAGGCACAUAGCUAGUGAAAUGUACAGUUACAGAGUCUGAUUUCUCCUACAUUAAAUUCUUGGAUGAGAGCUGUGCAUAAGCAAAUCUAAAUCAUAACAUUCUAAAAGCAUAUAAUUUAUUGGGUGAAGAACACUAAAUUUAAUUAAUUUUAGACCUCUGUAACAAUGGAGUAUACCAUGAGAGUUUCUUUAAGUUAUUAAACAGUUCAAAGUUUUAGAGCUGGAGACAAUUGCAAGUACACAAUCAUUACCCUGAGGUUAAUUGGUUUAGCUUUCCAAUUCUAACAAGUCAAAUGAAUCUGAAGGUGAAGAGACUCUCACGUGCUUUUAAGAACCUCAGAUAUGGUGAUUUGAUUGCCAUCCCAGUGGUCUGUUGAAAAUAUUUACAUUUCCUUAAACACAGUAAAUGUCACAUACCCAUUUUUCUUUAUUUUUAUGGGAGAUGUAAAUUUUCCAGAAUCUCCUUCCACACUUCAGAAGGGAGUGGAAGGGUAAGAUUCCUUAAGAGCAGCCUAUUUUAUGUGAAGAUCAGAUGUCUUCCUCUCCGGGAAUGCAUUUUGUCUCUGCAUGUUGUAAAAGGAACUCCCACUCCUAGAAACAUGAGCUUACCACCCCCAGAUGAGUCAGAUGCACCCUCAUAUUCUUUUCUCCUUUUCAUCUGUGGAGGCCAAGUUUACCCAGACUUGGAUUAUAUUUCUUCCGUUACCAGGUAAGGUAAAGAAUGUCUCAGAUCACGUGGGAGCUAUUCACUUCUCUCUAUAAUUUUUUUAAGAGCUUCCUUAAGAACAGGAGUCAUAUUUAUUCACCUUAUCACCCUAGGACCUAGGGUACUUAUUGUCUGGUAACUAAUAAGCAUUUAUUGAACAAAGGAAGUCUGAAAGGAGAAAAAAAAAAAGAAUUAACCCCAGCAUUUAUUUUAAAAGUUGCAAUGCGACAAGUGCUCAGGUUGAAUGUUCCAGGGGGAACAAGACACUUAAAGAUUUUAAAGAUUUUAUAGGCUAUAUUAAAGAAGAUCAAAUUUCAUUGUUCAAAUACUUGAAAGAUAUGGAAAACUGAGGUUGCGUUAAUCACAGGACAAGAUGCAGGGACAACAAGAUUGGGGCCAUGUUUAGCAGCCAGCGGUGGGACCACUGGGUUUAGUAAGAGAGGUGGAGAGGAACAGUUGGGGCUAAGGUCUUGCCAGGCUCAGUGGAAAAUGUUUAGUCCUUCAGCACCUUUCAUAGGAAAAAUAAUGUAAAUGGGAAUGUUAGAAAUGCAUGUUUCUACUUUCCAAUGGGUUGAAUGCUCCCCUAACACAAGAGCGUUAAAAACAGAGCCUGGAAUUUUGAUCCUGGGGGAUGGAAAGGAGGAGAGAGAGAAGGUCAACAGAAAGAAACAUGGAAGCUUUGGAAGGAGAACAGAGUAUGGACAAACCAGAGAGGGAUAAAAAUUUUAUUAACACCAAGAUUGUAUUAGAUAACAAAGGCAAGCAGCAAGUUGGCUUUAAAAAAAAAACCCUUUGGUGACAAACAGGUUUUCCUUGGACUAUGUUAACCUUUCCCUUCUUCUGAAAGGGAGCUUUUCUUACAGGAAUAUUUUUGGAUAGGUUAGAUUUUUAUUGAAAAUUGGUUUUAUUUAAAGUAUAUAAUUACCAAAAUAUGCAAUCUUACCUUCCAGUAACAAACAUUUGGAAAAAAAUUUGAGGUUCCAUGAAAAUCAUAACAGAUAAAGAAUUAUCAGUAUUUAUAUUUCCAGAAGUAUGGUGGAUAAAUAUCCUAAACAACCCUUGUUAACUGAAUCUAAGAGAAUGAAUAGAAAUAUAAAAAACAUUGUUUAUGAAAUGUCAAUAGACUGGUCCAAAAUUAAGGAAUAUGAAAAAUUCCCCAAAUUAUUUAAAACCAAGAGUGCUGGUAAAGCAGGCAUCAAAUCCAUCUCUGGACCUGUCGGUUUCUGCUGACCUGGUUUUCUUGAGCUCAUUCUUUGUGAGCUAAUAUGAGGAAGAAGAACUAAAUCCUAUGGCCCAUCCAGUCGGGGAAUCUACAGAUUACCUAGGCAUAAAAUUUUGACUCCUUCAGAAUAUAAGGGAAAAAAAGAACAUUACCAAAAAUGAUGACAUCAAGAAACAUACCUUUUUAAACUUGGUGCUAAGUGAAAGGAAAAGAAAAUAAAUUCUUCACAGAGAACACAUAAACAUAAACUAGCCCUCAUUUUACUGUCUAUAUUCACGUUACCUGUGUGGUCCAAGAAAACCCUAAGCACAUAAUUUAAUUUUCAGUUGCCCUGGAUUAGUCAUGCCUCCAGGACACUGAGAGAAGGAAACAGCAUCCUCUCUGAGGGAUUUCUCAACAACCCAGAACUCUAAGAAUUCCCACAGAUAAAACUCCAAGGAAAUUGAGCAUCUCCACACACACACCAAAAUACAAAUCACAAAAUAAUAAUGAAAACAUAUGAGUGAGAAGUGGCAGAAGGAGACCCACAAAUAUUUCAGAUAUGAGAAUUAUUAAUCAGUAUAAAAAGCAAAUAUAUUUAAAGAAAUGAGAUCCUUGAAAAUGAGCUAUGACGAAAAGAUUUUGAAGAACAAGAACCAAGAGAUUUAAAACACUGCCAAAUAGAAUAUGUAGAAAAGAGGAAUACAGUGCAUGAAAUGUAAAAUUCAGAGUAUGAAUUAAAAAGCUGAUUAAUUUUAUUUUUGCUCUGUUUACAGUGGGUAUAUAAUUUGAAGAAAAUUUCCAACAUGCAUCUGACAAGGAUUGAUCUAUAAAUAUAAAAGAGAAGGCAAGAGACAUGGAGAAUAGAAUGAAAAGUCUAACAUGUGUCUAUUUGGAGUUCCGGAAGGGUUUGAGGACCCGAGGAGGCGAUAGACAGCGACUGAUAAUUUCUUAUAAUUAUUAAAAGUACAAGACUACCAAGAAGUCUAAAGCUGUAAAAAUAAAACAACAUACUGAUACAUCAUAAAUGUUGCAGAUAGAUUGUUAAAGUAGUCAGAGAGAAAUGAAGGACAGUCUACAAAAUAAAGACAAUUAGAAUGAUGUUUGAACUCUUUAGAAUAUCAUAGAAGGUAGAAGAUGGCGAAAUGAUACAUUUAAAGAUGAGGUAUUUAAACUUGCCAGUCUAUACCUUGAGACAUUCUCAAGAAAAAGAGCAUUAAACAUUAUUUUACUACCAGAAUAACUUUACUAAGUAAAUUCUAAUGAAUGUUAUUCAAACAGAAGGGAAAUGAUCCCAGAUAAAGGGUCUGAAAUAUAAAAAAGUAAUGCCCAGCCUCUAGCUCAUACCUAAUUUGGCAGCAUAAAAAUACAAAAGGACACUGCUCAGUUUCCCUUUAAGGGAGAACCUAAAAUGAAGAGUAAAGGCCACCGACAAUCUCUAGCUAUAGCAUCUUCAGGAUCUGUUGCUGUGUUUGAGCCAAACACAACCCUCCCCAGUCAGCUCCUAGCCAAUGACAUAGAAGAACAGGGGUACCAGCAUGUGGUUCUUUCUGGCCAAUGCAAGCCCCCUGUGAUAGGCGGUCUUUGCUCUGGAGCCCUCCGUCAGGCUCACCAAGACUCUCAAAGCUGCACCUCAGCCUCCUGCUCUUCAUAUCCAACCCCUCUUCCUUCCCUGCCUUACUUCAUAAGUGUCAGACCUGCAUCAGAGUCUGAGGGCUCUCCCUCUUCCUGCUUACUUUCCCCUGUGUGUUCCACAGGCAUUACCAGCUAUACAACUCGUGCAUUUCUAUCUCUGUCUUGGUGCCUGCCUCCUGGAAGAAACGAGCUAACACAAUUGGUACUGGGGUGGUCCGGGAAAGUAGGUGGUGAGAUGGGGUUUGGGGACUGGUUCUGUCACCAGCUGGGUGGUAAGAAGGACUCCAUCUUAAGUGGUAUAUGAGGCGAGGCUACUUCCGAGCACAAGGUGGAGGCCCAAAGGCUGAAAAUGUCACUGGUCAGGACAAGAAAAACAUCCCAAAGGAAGGAUACCCUUGUCAGUGGGACAAUUCAGGCAUUUAAAAGACAAUAAGGCUAACAAUACAUACAAGGAAGGUGGAAUUUGCUGGUUAUUGUUAAGUUUGUUGAUGAACUACAGAGGGAAAAUGAGACACUGCAGGGCAGUUAAAAAGUUCAAAACUAUAUGUGGGAACCAGAGGGCCUGUACAGCAGCUUACAAAGACGCCCUUAUUUUCUUCAGAGGGAGAGCAGGUACACCUGAGGACCAAACUCCAAAUCUGAUAGUUAAGGUUAGGAAGGUUCAAAGAAUAUUGAAACUCCUCCAAAACAGGGUCUGCUACACUAAGGACAAGGCUGUGUUUGGGCAAACAUAGCAGGAAGGUGUCUGGAUGCGUCUCCCUGAGGACUGCGGCUCUGUGGACACCCUGAACCACAGCCUAGAAAGGUGGGCCAGCUCUCCCUGUUAAAAGCUAGCAUUGACCUCGUGCAGAAAGAUACAUUGAAGAGCUCUUCUUCACAAGGCUUCAGGUGCCCACCUCAGGAAAUGCCCCCAUUUUGUCUCCUGGCUAUAAGGCUGAUAACUAGGGUUAAAUUCCAGCAUAAGCCAAUUGGGGUUAUGCCAGACUUGUUCAGAGAGGACAGAGAUCCCAAAGGAACUGCAAGAAUUAGCUAGCUCGUACUGGCAGGAACAAGGGGAGUAUCCAUCAUAAUAGAUUAGGAGAGUGUUUGAGCAAGUGUCAGCCUGGAUAGAUGAGAGUUUACUGACUCAGGGGACUUGAUGGGAUAUGGCAAGGCCCCUAGGGUUGGAGUGAACAUGCUGCUAGGAUGGUUCUUAGAAACCUAGGGAAGGGCCCACGCUGUGCAAGGUAAAAUGCCUGAGUUGCUGAGACACAUAGUGGAGAAAGGGAUUAAAAAGCUCAGAGAAGUGGGCUUCCCGGAAUGGAUAUAUUAUAUGAGGCCAGAAUACCCACCACAGGAUUGUGUUGCACAGGAAGGCCCAGAAAAUGCACUGUUCAACAAGACCAUUAGGUCCACUCACUCUGGGAUGAGGGCCUGGCCAUUUGUCCCAACAUGGGACUUCCUUAAGGGGCGAUCUUUGCUCUGGAGCUCCUUAUUGGACUGCCCAAAUGGCUUUCUCUGAGAUUUACCUGUUUGAGGUUUUCAUUCUUAAUUCUCCUUCCUUCUCUUCUUUCAUAAGUAUCAGACCUACAUUACAGUUCAAACACUUCACCUGACUAUUCCUCUCCCUUGCACUUCUGUAUUUCGUAGGCUCGUUGCUUCCAAUAAAGCUCUGGCACUUCUAUAUUCUUCUAGAUAUCUGUUUUCCCCGGAUCCUGAACUAACACAAUCACCUAUGAAUCUGAUGGUAUCACAUGCAGUACAGUCCCUAUUGCUAACUGAAAACAUCUAGCAUCUUCUAUUGAGGCUAAAUUAAUUAGGAAAUAUUGUUAUUUUCUCCUUUUUACAUUCCUAUCUCCUGAUUCAACAUUUUUAAGCCAGCAACCUGAUUACCCUUACCCUGUGAAAGAGACUCUCACGGUUCUUUUUCUGUACUUUGAGCAGUGUCCAUCCUACAACAGAUCUUUUGGACAUGCCCAUACCAGAGCCUUACUUUUUGGUUAUUGAUGAGUUUUAUCUUAAAAGCGAAAAGUAAUAAUACCAGGAUGGAUGUGCAAGAACUGCUGUGGACUCUCGUGUAGCACUCAAUCCCUUACCAGAAGCCAAAGCAGCGGGAGUGGUUGAACUUGUGGUCUACAAAGGGCAUGUUAAAUUGCCAGUAAGUAUAAUGAUAAAUACCCACCCACACACACACACUGAUCACUGAUAUCAUUUUGGAGUAGUUCAUUAGCAGUCCAGUAGUUCAUGACUUUGAAAUGCUUCAGAAACACAAAGAUUUUAUACCCAAGGAAGUUGCUGUGAUCAAGAUAGAGGCCUACAGUAAAGGACAUGGCAAUAGCAGAACACCAUGCUCAACUGAUUGCUUUGACUAAACUUCUAAAUACAAAUAUUCCCUACAUAACAGUAAGGAAACAACUAUAGAGAAGUUCAAGGAGUCCAUAAUAGAUGCAUAAAAUUAGACCCCGAAUUCUGGGCAAAAAUGGAAAUCAUCAGGUUUUAAAAUUAAUGAAGAUAAGACCUGUCAAAUCCAGGAAGGAUGCCUAGUGUCAUCAGAUAACUUUAAAUGUUUAAAUGGAGCUCACUAAAAUCCUCCAUGAUACAAUUCAUUACAAAUGGGAAAAAUUGCCUCUAAGAUUAAAUAUUAACGGGAAAACUUUUCUAGAAUAAGACUGGAUAUACCCGGUUCAUGCCUCAUCUUUAAUUAACAUAAUGCUGAAAAAACUGUAAAGGUCCUACAGACUGAAACCAUGAUUGACAGGACUGGUUAGCAUCUGAAAUAAAUUUUAUAAAAUUAUCUGCCUUCAUAGGUGAAUAUGUAGUAGUAGCAGAACAUUUAUUUUCUGGUAUGUUGAAGCCAUAGCAAUCACAGUGGCAUAAUUAAAAAGGAGAGACACUAAGAUUCCAUGAUUUCUACCUAGGCCAUCCUAACAUAUCUAUCCUUAAUGAUAGGGAAAGACAUUUUACUGGGGCAAUUAUUCAUGGCUUAUGAAAGGCUUUGUCCUGUAUUCAGAAACUUCACUGUCCUUAUUAAUCCCCAAUCCUCUGCAAAGUGGAAAGAUUCUUAACAGAGUUAGAAAGUUACAACCAUUAGAGACCUUAAAAUGACAUUCAACUGCAAGUCAACUGCUGACUCAAGAUCCUCAGAGGAAGCAGACAACUGAAUGAAGUAGACAUUUCUGCCCCAAAUCAUCUGAACAAGAUAUCCAGAACCAUUAAUUGCCCUACUCUACAUUGCCCGAGGAUUGGGCACAUGAAGGAUAACCAGAUAGACUGGGGCCCACCAGGACAGAAGUGUUCCCAGAGGCACCUGCCACAGACCCCUGGACAGAGUUCCUGUCUGUCCCAUGGAGGGAGAUCAUGCCAAGACAAUAACUCAGC